This is a non-coding RNA of Paramuricea clavata, 1265 nucleotides long. The record is from the annotation of a GenBank genome assembly. NCBI's taxonomy places the organism in Eukaryota, Metazoa, Cnidaria, Anthozoa, Malacalcyonacea, Plexauridae.
CAACAGUUUUGAAUAUUUUAUUUUUGUUUGUGUUGUCAAAGUACUCACAACUUGCCACGCAAAAUAAAAAUGGUAUUAACUCUUUUUAUUAUAUAAACAUAAGUGUUAUAUAGAGUUUUUGGCCACUGAGAAUAAUCGUAUUUAAACACACGUAAAAAUACGAUAUUUUUACGUGUGAAAAUAUCAUUUUUUGUAAAACGCAUUGCCACGGACGUUUUAUUGCUUUACACUGAAUUUUGUUUAUAUAAUAAACAGAAAAAUACAUGGCUGUUUGAAAAUACCAGAUUUAUUUCUCGUGUUGAACAUGAUACCUCACUCGUUCGCUGCGCUCACUCGUGAGAUACAAUCACAGUUUAAUCAUUAAACUGCGAUACAAUGUUCAACACUCGAAAUAAAUCUGGUAUUUCCGCGCACCCAUGUAUUAUUCUCUAUAUAGUUCAGUUGUCACCAACAUUUAUAGUCGUUAAUUACGAAUAUAUAUACUGUAAACGAUCCACGUUCACCGUCAAGCAAUAUUUGCAAACGCAACUUAUUGAAUCCAUUUUAGUGCUUGUCCAAUGUUAGUAGAUUGUACAAUCUCGUCUUUUGACAUCGCAAACUGACAACAUCUGCUAUUUCCCAUGAGGAUAACAUUGACUGAAGGCAGAAAUCGUGAUUUCCUUAAGGUUACAGGACACCCUUUUUGGCGUUUUGCGGAAAAUCGCUACUGCGCGCUCAAUAUCAGUCCGAUUUUCAUCAAAUUUUCACCAAAUGUUCUCCAGUGCAUGCAAAAUAUGGUAAAGUUGUAAAAAUAACAAACAGUAAAAUAAUGUAAGAGUUAUUCAGGAAAAUCUUAAAUCGCGGCACCUUUACGCUUUUGAGUUGUGCUCCUGCUGGUUUUAAGUUAUAUUUAUGAAAAUAUCACUUUUAUACAGUAAAAUAGUUGUUCUAAAAAAUUGUGUUCGGAAAUUUUUGUUUAUUUCGUCAUUCCGCUGAUAUGGCGAUUUCUUUGACGACUGCAAUAUAUUUCUGAAUUGUUUGAGUGAAUUGCUCUUUAUUUUUGAAAUAUCCAAAAUUAAAUAAAAGCCGAACACAAUUUUGAAACUGACGUAUUUAGCUGUGUCCUGGGAAAAUUUGAGAAAAAUUGGUUAAAACCCGCAGGAGCAUAACUCGUUUGAAAAUCAGUAAUUACCGUAAAAGUUUUCGUGAGAAAAUUGAAUUUGAAUAUUACAUUUUCAAUGUUUUUCUUAUUGCAGCGAAAUGUAUUUUACUAAAUAACUCUGCGA